GCCAGUGUAGGGUAGUGGUUUGAGUGUUGGACUACAAAUUUGGAGACCAGAGUUAAAUUCCCUGCAUGGCCA
Phrynosoma platyrhinos (Desert horned lizard) is the source of this 72-nucleotide non-coding RNA. NCBI's taxonomy places the organism in Eukaryota, Metazoa, Chordata, Lepidosauria, Squamata, Phrynosomatidae. The record is from the annotation of a GenBank genome assembly.